Molecule: long non-coding RNA, 1419 nt
Organism: Galleria mellonella (greater wax moth)
Lineage: Eukaryota; Metazoa; Arthropoda; Insecta; Lepidoptera; Pyralidae
Exons: 3
Source: RefSeq, a predicted model, not a curated record
GCAUUUGUGCCAUUACAGUUCACAUCCUAUUUGUGUAACAUACCUAAAGGAUUUUAAUUAAAGAUUUUAUUUAUUAAAAAGUUCUUUAAACUGGACAAACUUAGUAUAGGAGCAAUUUGGAAAAACAUUGAAUCAUUUCUUUUUUAUUUAUUUGCUACUUAAAGAGAUAGUUUGACAGUUCGCCUUACGGAAAGUGGUAGCUGUCGCCUAUAGACAUGAAUAGCACCAUGGAGGUCACAGAAUAUACAGUGAUACCCAUGCGUUAUCAUUCCUGAGAACUACGAUGUUGUGUUUCCCUGUAAUUUCAUUGUCAUAUCCUAUUCCUUUUUCCAUGGCAGGGAGUCAGUGGAUGCAGUUGGCUCAGAACUAUUCCUUAUGGCAAGCUGUGAGGAAGGACUAUAUCCAGUAGUGGUUGAAUAAUGGCUGAAAUGAUGAUAAUCAUGAUUCUGUUCCUCAAACGGGAUCUCAGUCAUGCAAGCACAGAUACUUCGCGGCAUAAACAGGAGUGGGGGCAGAGGUACCCAAAUAAAUGACUUGUAUAUAAAACUCUAUGGUAGAAAUAAAAUGAGCAUAGUCAUAAAGCAGUAAAUAUAUAUUUUGUCCAGAGAAUAUUAAUAAGACUGUAAUAUUUAGAGCGUUUUAUACCAGAGAGAGACAAAAGUUAUACGCGUGGGGACAUCUGUCCUAUUCGUGUUUCUACCGUGAAGCAGUUAUGUUUGUAUAGCUGCGUUUCAGUUCAAAAGGUGGUAUAUGGCAAUGAAAUUACUGGAUUCAGAAAAAUACCCUAGUCCUCAGGAAUGGCAACGCAUGAAGCGUAUUACUGGCGACACAGUAUAUUCUGUUUUGUCCAUGGCACUGUUCAUGUGUAUAGGCGCCAGUUACACUUUCCAUCAGGUGGGCCGUCAGCUUGAUUGCUAAUAAAAGGUGCAUAAAAAAAUUAUUUAAUUUUUUUUUAAUAAAUUAAUUAUUAUUCAGCGGAUAAUGAUUCUUGUACUGAUUACCUACUUACAAGAAGGCAUGGACGCGUACACAGCAUUGUUAAACAUUAUAAUGAUUUGUACAUACGGCUAAACGAGCAUGCGAUUCGCUUGAUGCGGGUCGAGUCGGAUAGUAAGGCGCUGAUCAUCAAUAAUUCGAGCCGCCCGACGUUGAAUGUCGUGUAAUGGAAACAGCUGCCACUGUGAUACUCCAGUCCAGUGGUGAGAAUAAAAAGAGUUACUUCAUACCAGAGACAGAAGUUAGACAGAGAUACUUAUGUAAACGACUUUACACAAAAUAUUCUUUUACUUAAUAGGAACAUUAACAAAAAAACAUAAUAAAUACAAAAUCAAGUAAUAAUGUUUAUGAUAUAGCACAAACACUGCAAAGGACAAACUGUAAAAACAUAUCUGUAAAAUUUUGUCAAUUAAAUAUAUUUAA